GAAAGCCUGACGGAGCAAUACCGCGUGAGGGAGGAAGGCUUUUGGGUUGUAAACCUCUUUUCUCAGGGAAUAAGAAAUGAAGGUACCUGAGGAAGAAGCAUCGGCUAACUCCGUGCCAGCAGCCGCGGUAAUACGGAGGAUGCAAGCGUUAUCCGGAAUGAUUGGGCGUAAAGCGUCCGCAGGUGGUCGUUCAAGUCUGCUGUUAAAGAGUUUGGCUCAACCAAAUAAGGGCAGUGGAAACUGAAGGACUAGAGAGUGGUAGGGGUAGAGGGAAUUCCCGGUGUAGCGGUGAAAUGCGUAGAGAUCGGGAAGAA
RNAcentral lists this ribosomal RNA (314 nucleotides) under uncultured cyanobacterium. RNAcentral describes it as "bacterial SSU rRNA". It matches the Rfam family "Bacterial small subunit ribosomal RNA", at positions 377 to 706 of the family's 1533-position model. Lineage: Bacteria; Bacillati; Cyanobacteriota. The record is from RNAcentral.